GAUGGGAGAAUAACAAAUCAAAAUUUUCCUCUUGAUUUUUAAUUUUUUUCUCUUAAAAAAAUUCAAAUCUAACUAAAAAUGCUAAAAAUCAGUAAAAAGAUUCUGAUUUAUUAUUCUCUUAUU
RNAcentral lists this microRNA precursor (123 nucleotides) under Gossypium hirsutum (cotton). Its description in RNAcentral is "MIR7504 microRNA precursor family". It matches the Rfam family "MIR7504 microRNA precursor family". Lineage: Eukaryota; Viridiplantae; Streptophyta; Magnoliopsida; Malvales; Malvaceae. The record is from Rfam by way of RNAcentral.